UACGAAGGGUGCAAGCGUUAAUCGGAAUUACUGGGCGUAAAGCGCGCGUAGGUGGUUCAGUAAGUUGGAAGUGAAAUCCCCGGGCUCAACCUGGGAACUGCUUUCAAAACUGCUGAGCUAGAGUACGGUAGAGGGUGGUGGAAUUUCCUGUGUAGCGGUGAAAUGCGUAGAUAUAGGAAGGAACACCAGUGGCGAAGGCGACCACCUGGACUGAUACUGACACUGAGGCGCGAAAGCGUGGGGAGCAAACAGG
Molecule: ribosomal RNA, 253 nt
Filed under: uncultured bacterium
Lineage: Bacteria
Description: partial 16S ribosomal RNA
Rfam family: Bacterial small subunit ribosomal RNA
Source: RNAcentral